GAUGAACGCUGGCGGUGUGCCUAAUACAUGCAAGUCGAGCGAACAGAUGAGGAGCUUGCUCCUCUGACGUUAGCGGCGGACGGGUGAGUAACACGUGGAUAACCUACCUAUAAGACUGGGAUAACUUCGGGAAACCGGAGCUAAUACCGGAUAAUAUAUUGAACCGCAUGGUUCAAUAGUGAAAGACGGUUUUGCUGUCACUUAUAGAUGGAUCCGCGCCGCAUUAGCUAGUUGGUAAGGUAACGGCUUACCAAGGCAACGAUGCGUAGCCGACCUGAGAGGGUGAUCGGCCACACUGGAACUGAGACACGGUCCAGACUCCUACGGGAGGCAGCAGUAGGGAAUCUUCCGCAAUGGGCGAAAGCCUGACGGAGCAACGCCGCGUGAGUGAUGAAGGUCUUCGGAUCGUAAAACUCUGUUAUUAGGGAAGAACAAAUGUGUAAGUAACUAUGCACGUCUUGACGGUACCUAAUCAGAAAGCCACGGCUAACUACGU
Molecule: ribosomal RNA, 496 nt
Filed under: uncultured bacterium
Lineage: Bacteria
Description: partial 16S ribosomal RNA
Rfam family: Bacterial small subunit ribosomal RNA
Source: RNAcentral